Molecule: ribosomal RNA, 376 nt
Filed under: uncultured organism
Description: partial 16S ribosomal RNA
Rfam family: Bacterial small subunit ribosomal RNA
Source: RNAcentral
GGAGGGUGCGAACGUUGCUCGGAAUUACUGGGCGUAAAGCGCGUGCAGGCGGUUUGUUAAGUUCCGUGUGAAAGCCCUGGGCUCAACCCAGGAAGUGCACGGAAUACUGACAGACUAGAGUGCGGGAGAAGAGGGCGGAAUUCCCGGUGUAGAGGUGAAAUUCGUAGAUAUCGGGAGGAACACCAGAAGCGAAAGCGGUUCUCUAGACCGACACUGACGCUCAGACGCGAAAGCGUGGGGAGCAAACAGGGAUUAGAUACCCUGGUAGUCCACGCCGUAAACGAUGGACACUAGGUGCUGGGGGGCUUGACCCCCCUUCGGCGCCCGUCGCUAACGCAUUAAGUGUCCCGCCUGGGGGAGUACGGUCGCAAGACUA